Long non-coding RNA from Balaenoptera ricei (Rice's whale), 1161 nucleotides. RefSeq lists it as uncharacterized. The record is from RefSeq and is a predicted model, not a curated record. The transcript has 6 exons. Lineage: Eukaryota; Metazoa; Chordata; Mammalia; Artiodactyla; Balaenopteridae.
GGUGUCUGUCCAGCAGGCGUCCUUCUAUCACACUCCCUGAGGGGCCCGUCAUGCUGAUGUCAAGGAAAUAAGUUCAGGUCUGAGAAAUCAUAGUGAAAUGGGUCCAACCAGAAGAAGAAAUUCCAGAAUUGUGAAUGGCAUAGAAAGCAUGCUGUUAGCCGCAACUCCAAAAGUUCCAGACACACUUAUUCAUCCUUCAGAAAGAUUCCAGGCUACCAAAAGGGCUCUGGAAGCUUUCGUGUCUAUUCAACUAGAAAAGGUGGGGCUGCGGGACAUGAUGCUGAAUGCCUUCCUCCUCAGGAAACAAGCCAGGGCUGACAGAAUGAAGAACCUCAGAGAGAUGUUACCUCAUCCCUUCAGACUGCUCUCUGCAAACAUAAUCCUGAGAAGUGGUUCAGGUAAAGAGUGGAUGAAAUUGGGAAAGUCAAGAGAGACAUUAUAGUUGAAUAUUGCCAGAAGAAGCAGUAUCAGAAGUGACAGCUAAGAGGCACUUGGAAGAGAUCCAUGCCUCUGCCUUCAGACAAUAGCAACCUGACCAAGACAGAAGUUUCUUCUUGACAGAGGUCCUCUAUUCUCUUUGAAAAGUCUCCAGGGACUUAUAUCCUGGAACUUCCGUGAGAGAUGGAACAACUUGGAUUCACCUCUGCACAUCAUCUCUUCUUCUGACUUUUUAGAUUCAACCGCCACAUGUCUCACUAUGCUCUUCGGGAGCAGAUCAUGGCAUACUGCAACAGCCUGAGAGCCCUGCUGGACGAUUUCCCUACCAUCAGAGAUACCUUUUUCGUGGUGGGACAACCACAAGAAAAGAAGGGGUCGAGGGACUCCAAGGAGAGCCUCAAGACUGACCCCAGGUGCAGAAUUUUCUUUAGAGCUUGUUAUUCCCCCUCCCCAUCCCACUUCUCCUAGGGGAGAGGUUUGUUAAGUUUGGUAUGGAAAUCUUGCUCCCUUUAACGUAUUUAACCUUGAUCUUCUGGUCCAGAAGGGGAAAAGAAAGAGCUAACACUCCAAGAAUAAGCAUAUCUUUGUAUUUGAACGCAAAAAGAGUUCUUUGUUUAUGGGCUGUUUGACUGCUUUUUCAAUCUAUGAAGUUUCAUUUACCCCUGGAGUACCCAGAGAUUUUCAUCAGUCACACCCUUUUACAUAAGCCAGCAUCUAAAAUAA